AAUAAUAUUAGGCCCCAGUAAUUUAAAUGCGAAAGUAUAAAAAGAGAAUUUCUCGAGUAAUAAUUUAUGAACAUAAACACCGUCUCAUAAUAGUUUUUUGAGUUGGAUCUUUUCCCGAAACAGCGAUUUGUUAACCAAGCAGACUGCGUCCUAGCGUUUUAUGAGUCGUUUGUAUCUUUGAAUGAACUGAAGGAGCCGAUUCGCUUAAAUUAACUGGAGGUGGUCUCUUUAAAUAUCCCAGAAUUCCUCACACCGCUCACACGUGUUCAUUGCCUCCCGCACCGCACUGUUGCAGACAGUCACAGAAAGAUCGCACAACAUGAGCAGACGCAGUAUGGGUGUCGAUUGUCCAUCUGAACCUCCUGACUGAAGAGAAGCUUGCCAGUUUCUACGAUGUCUUCCCUGUAAAGGCUCAUAUAUUGGUUUGGCCCUUAGGCACAGCUGUGUGGAAAAAAACCUUCUCUACCCAUUAAUUGCCAAUGACAAAGGCAGAGAAUGUAAGAACUACAGUCAUUAGAUUCCAUUGAUGGCUUCAUUUUGGGGGCACAUGGAUUCAGUGACUGGCUUGUUCCUCGGAAGUGAUGCAGCUUGAGAAGAGCUAAUUUUAUUUCCAUGUUUGGAGAAUGUAAAAUGAGUGGGGGAGUUUUUGUAAACCAUGUUUAUGUAAUGCACAAUUUUGAAAGUUAUGCAUUGAUUGUUACCAAUAAAGAAAGAUGCUUACUUGAAGUGUUUUUAUUUUCUCUUUUUUUUUCUGCUCUUAACAUUGAGUCAUGGAUCAUGAUCCAUGUUACCAGGAAAUUACUGUCUUAGCCAUGGUUAAUCUGUAUUUAGCAUGGGUUCUAUGCAUUUUAUUUCCUUGGAAGAAGAAACCUCAGAAACUUCAAUUAAGACUGAUCUGUUUAAAUGGUUGGCAUGUUUAACUGUUGAUGCUUUUGCUUUCAUCUAAAGGGGAGGUUAGUAAAUCAAAUCUGUUUAUAGUUGGAUCACUAUUUGUCUCCAUGUAAGUCUAAGACAAAGUGGUGUGUUUUCAAAAUUCAAGGCACAUUUGGGGUAAGUGUCUUAAACUUUUUCUGUGAAGCUGCGUUGUAACGAUCAUGAAAUGCAUUAUAUAAAGUGUAUUUAAUUGAAAUA
Long non-coding RNA from Cyprinus carpio (common carp), 1131 nucleotides. RefSeq lists it as uncharacterized. NCBI's taxonomy places the organism in Eukaryota, Metazoa, Chordata, Actinopteri, Cypriniformes, Cyprinidae. The record is from RefSeq and is a predicted model, not a curated record.